Seriola lalandi dorsalis is the source of this 82-nucleotide small nucleolar RNA. Lineage: Eukaryota; Metazoa; Chordata; Actinopteri; Carangiformes; Carangidae. The record is from Ensembl.
UUGACAUAAUGAUGAUCGCAUAGUUCAGCAGAUUAAACCGUGAAGAACUACUAUUGUCUUUCGCUCCUAGCUGAUGUGUCAG